This 73-nucleotide transfer RNA is filed under the name Perkinsus marinus ATCC 50983. It matches the Rfam family "tRNA". From Rfam's summary of the family: Transfer RNA (tRNA) molecules are approximately 80 nucleotides in length. Their secondary structure includes four short double-helical elements and three loops (D, anti-codon, and T loops). Lineage: Eukaryota; Perkinsozoa; Perkinsida; Perkinsidae. The record is from Rfam by way of RNAcentral.
UCCGAUGUAGUCUAGCUGGUUAGGAUAUCUGGCUUUCACCCAGACGACCUGGGUUCGAGUCCCGGCAUCGGAA